This 460-nucleotide ribosomal RNA is filed under the name uncultured bacterium. RNAcentral's name for it is "partial 16S ribosomal RNA". It matches the Rfam family "Bacterial small subunit ribosomal RNA", at positions 338 to 795 of the family's 1533-position model. The record is from RNAcentral.
CCUACGGGUGGCAGCAGUGAGGAAUAUUGGUCAAUGGGCGUAAGCCUGACCCAGCCAAGUCGCGUGAGGGAUGAAGGUUCUAUGGAUCGUAACCCUCUUUUAUAAGGGAAUAAAGUGUGGGACGUGUCCUGUUUUGUAUGUACCUUAUGAAUAAGGAUCGGCUAACUCCGUGCCAGCAGCCGCGGUAAUAUGGAGGAUCCGAGCGUUAUCCGGAUUUAGUGGGUUUAAAGGGUGCGUAGGCGGCCGUUUAAGUCAGCGGUGAAAGUCUGUGGCUCAACCAUAGAAUUGCCGUUGAAACUGGGAGGCUUGAGUAUGUGUGAGGCAGGCGGAAUGCGUGGUGUAGCGGUGAAAUGCUUAGAUAUCACGCAGAACCCCGAUGGCGAAGGCAGACUGCCAAGCCAUGACUGACGCUGAUGCACGAAAGCGUGGGGAGCAAACAGGAUUAGAUACCCGAGUAGUC